Non-coding RNA from Acanthosepion pharaonis, 107 nucleotides. NCBI's taxonomy places the organism in Eukaryota, Metazoa, Mollusca, Cephalopoda, Sepiida, Sepiidae. The record is from the annotation of a GenBank genome assembly.
AUAACAAUGUUGAAACUCAUGUUCCCAUAGAAUCACUGAAGUUAAGCAACAUUGAACCUAGUCAGUACCUAGAUGGUUGAAUGUUUGGGAAUACCAGGUGCUGUCAU